CACCGCCCGUCACACCAUGGAAGUCUGCUGCACCAGAAGCCGGUCGCCUAACCGCAAGGAGGGCGCCGACCACGGUGUGGCCGAUGACUGGGGUGAAGUCGUAACAAGGUACCC
Molecule: ribosomal RNA, 114 nt
Filed under: uncultured bacterium
Lineage: Bacteria
Description: partial 16S ribosomal RNA
Rfam family: Bacterial small subunit ribosomal RNA
Source: RNAcentral